AAGUGGGAAAAAAGCUUACUGGUAAAUAGCCGGCAAGACUGAUGGUACCAUUAAAGGAAGCACCGGCUAACUCCGUGCCAGCAGCCGCGGUAAUACGGAGGGUGCAAGCGUUGUUCGGAAUUACUGGGCGUAAAGGGCGUGUAGGCGGUGUGGUAAGUCAGAUGUGAAAGCCCUGGGCUUAACCCAGGAAGUGCAUUUGAAACUGCCAUGCUUGAGUAUGGGAGAGGAGAGUGGAAUUCCCAGUGUAGAGGUGAAAUUCGUAGAUAUUGGGAGGAACACCCGUGGCGAAGGCGACUCUCUGGACCAAUACUGACGCUGAGGCGCGAAAGCGUGGGGAGCAAACAGGAUUAGGUACCCUGGUAGUCCACGCCGUAAACGAUGAGCACUAGGUGUAGCGGGUAUUGACCCCUGCUGUGCCGUAGCUAACGCAUUAAGUGCUCCGCCUGGGGAGUACGGCCGCAAGGCUAAAACUCAAAGGAAUUGACGGGGGCCCGCACAAGCGGUGGAGCAUGUGGUUUAAUUCGACGCAACGCGAAGAACCUUACCUGGAUUUGACAUCCUUUGACAACCCC
This 572-nucleotide ribosomal RNA is filed under the name uncultured delta proteobacterium. Its description in RNAcentral is "bacterial SSU rRNA". It matches the Rfam family "Bacterial small subunit ribosomal RNA", at positions 438 to 1001 of the family's 1533-position model. Lineage: Bacteria; Deltaproteobacteria. The record is from RNAcentral.